Molecule: long non-coding RNA, 1687 nt
Organism: Gymnogyps californianus (California condor)
Lineage: Eukaryota; Metazoa; Chordata; Aves; Accipitriformes; Cathartidae
Exons: 4
Source: RefSeq, a predicted model, not a curated record
CAUGUGUAAAGAAAAAAUAGGAGGAGGAAAUGAAAAGAGUGUCCUGCAAAGUGAACUUGAAAAUACGUUGAAAAGGAACUCUGGAAAGAGCUAGGGAAAAGCGUAAGAGAAGCACGCUGAGAAAAUGUAAUGGCUCUGCUGACGGAGAGCCUGCAUAGAGUAGGGGUCUUCCUGGAAUGGCCUGGUGCAUGCCAUCGAGUAUUCUUUCUUACAGCUAAGCUUCAGGGUGAGUUUAUUUGAGGGCCAACUAAGCUGCACACAAAGCCUGGAAAAGAAUUUGAGGCUAUCAACAGGGUCUACUGGGAUGCUCCACCAGAAGGAGACAGAAUGAAGGCUCAGAAGAAAGCUCCAAACGGCUUCUGGGGGAAUUGCACGCUCGUAUCUGAAGAGUUCACAGUGGCAAUCAAGUCCUGGAAAGAAGAUUUUGAUGAGAACAAAGCCGUUGAGGAAUUCUGCUGAGUCCUGUUAGAAUGAUGACUUGGAAUUGAUAUAAUGCCAAUACGUGUGGCAAGUCUGUUAAAAGCAGCCUUAUUGAUUUGGUUAUAGUGCUUCAUAGAUUUUCCAUAAAACUGCUUUUCGUGGACCAUAUAGGCAGACCAUGCAGGGCAGUCUCCUGUCAUGCUUUCGCACUGACAGCAUGCUGAUCACAAAGCAGAAGAGUGUUUGGAAGUGUUGUUAUUCUUUAGAGACUUUGAAUUGCCAAACUAGUGGUAAGUCUAGUCUACCCCCGACGAACGUUGGUUAAUAGUGUGACAAUUCCUAAAUAAAUUGCCUCACUGACCCUGCUCGUGGUCUUCUUCAGGGCGCCCCACUUAAGCCUGCAGCCAUCACCUUUCUUGGUACAGAGUUCCAUAGCAUGCUCAUUCCAAUCUGAGGCCUUAGGCUGUAAACCUCUGUUGUUCAUUGUGAUCUCCUUCAACAGGUCAGGUCAACACCUGCAGUUCCAUUCUCUGCAGCAUUAUAGUACACAUCUUGUUUCUGAAAAGCAAUGUGUUAUUUAAAACGAAACACUUCAGAGAAAUCAGUUUUUAAAAGAGCAAUCAGUCUGACAUGUCUCCAUGUCCACCUUUCUCAAGUCAGUGUUCUCUCUCUGUAAAUUUAAAGUCCUGUGCUAUGUCAGGUGUUUUGAACAAAGUGAAAUCACUCCUUCAACUCUCCUGAUUGGGGUUGAAAUACUGAAAGACUCAUCUCUUCUUUUAUUGUUAUCACCAUGCUUUAAAUAUCUCAAAUGUCUUCAUUUCCUGAAGGAUUCUUUCUUUAACUAUUUGGAAUACAAAUACAAUACAUGUUGCUGUAACCUUCUCAGAAACUUCUUGUCCCUGAGCGGAGGAAUGUGGCUUUAAGGUCUUCCUAUGCCCUCAAAUUUUGUUUAAUUUUAUGCAGGUAUCAGGAAUAUACUUCUUCAUUAUUCAAGAUGCUAAUACACUUGUUUAAAAAAAAUUAAAAAAGCUAAUUUAAUAGCAAAAAAUCAGUAGACUCCAUGUCACUAAUUUCUUUGAAGGUGUAUGGGUUUUAUCACUCUAUCACAAAUUUUGAAUGAAUGUCUUCCAAUAUGUAGAAAUCAGCAGACAGUAUGAGCUGUUGAUUGGUUCUAAAAUUGUCUUGACAAAUUGCAAUCUCAUAAAUAUUUUCUGUUUACCUUGAAGCUUGUUCUGAAUGCUAUUACUUCUGCUAUCUGUUUUUAAAA